GGGUGGACAUAAAGUGGAAAGGAGGGGAAAUAACUCCCACCAUGCAGCAGGACACCUUCAGCUGUGGGGUCUUUGUAAUAUGGCCAAGGAAGUUGCACAGAACUUCCCCAACAUCCCAAAUUGAUAUGGAACCUUCAAAAAACAAAUGGAGCAACUGCAGAAAUAAAUGGCUGAGGAUAUACUAAACAUGUCUGAGUUCAAUAAAGCCUGCUUCAUGUGUGCCACUGAUGAAGAACCUGGAUGUGGCCCAGACUGACAGGAUUGAAUGUUUUGCCAACGGGGGUUCCAUGUGCUGUGCCUCGGAAUGAAGACCAAAGAGUUCACCAGAGUAAAGAACACAAACUGGAAGUGCAGUCUUUGUUGUUGAGAAUGUCUGCUCUACCCCAUCCACAC
Molecule: long non-coding RNA, 393 nt
Organism: Oncorhynchus tshawytscha (Chinook salmon)
Lineage: Eukaryota; Metazoa; Chordata; Actinopteri; Salmoniformes; Salmonidae
Exons: 4
Source: RefSeq, a predicted model, not a curated record